AUUCAUUGAAGAUGCGGUGGGUAGAGUGAUUUUGAUCCGCAAAUCUCCUCACCGAAGCGGGAUGGCGAUAAGACCAAAACACAAAUCUAUCCAUGCAAGCUUUUACCGUCAGUUCACUGGCGGUUUUUUUUCAUCUGCAAUACUGAAAUGAACAAAAGCCCCUUACGUCUUCACGUAAGGGGCUUUCACUGCGGGGGAUUAUCGCCGUUCAUUAGUCA
Molecule: small RNA, 218 nt
Filed under: uncultured Phytobacter sp.
Lineage: Bacteria; Pseudomonadati; Pseudomonadota; Gammaproteobacteria; Enterobacterales; Enterobacteriaceae
Description: STnc560 Hfq binding RNA
Rfam family: STnc560 Hfq binding RNA
Source: RNAcentral